UGACAGUACUCCUACGAGAGGCAGCAGUGGGGAAUAGUUGCACAAUGGGGGAAACCCUGACUGCAGCCAUGCCGCGUGUGUGAAGAAGGACCUUCGGGUUGUAAAGCACUUUCAGUAGGGAGGAAGGUAGUGUAGUUAACACCUGCAUUAUUUGACGUUACCUACAGAAGAAGCACCGGCUAACUCCCGUGCCAGCAGCCGCGGUAAUACGGAGGGUGCGAGCGUUAAUCGGAAUUACUGGGCGUAAAGCGCAUGCAGGCGGCCUGUUAAGUCAGAUGUGAAAGACCCGGGGCUUAACCUCGGAAUUGCAUUUGAAACUGGCAGGCUAGAGUCUUGUAGAGGGGGGUAGGAAUUUCUAGGUGUAGCGGUGAAAUGCGUAGAGAUCUGAAGGAAUACCAGUGGCGAAGGCGGCCCCCCUGGACAAAGACUGACGCUCAGAUGCGAAAGCGUGGGGAGCAAACAGGAUUAGAUACCCCUGGUAG
Molecule: ribosomal RNA, 482 nt
Filed under: uncultured bacterium
Lineage: Bacteria
Description: bacterial SSU rRNA
Rfam family: Bacterial small subunit ribosomal RNA
Source: RNAcentral